Molecule: ribosomal RNA, 253 nt
Filed under: uncultured bacterium
Lineage: Bacteria
Description: partial 16S ribosomal RNA
Rfam family: Bacterial small subunit ribosomal RNA
Source: RNAcentral
UACGUAGGGCGCAAGCGUUGUCCGGAAUUAUUGGGCGUAAAGAGCUCGUAGGCGGCCUGUUGCGUCCGCUGUGAAAACCCGGGGCUUAACCCCGGGCUUGCAGUGGAUACGGGCUGGCUAGAGGCAGGCAGGGGAGAACGGAAUUCCUGGUGUAGCGGUGAAAUGCGCAGAUAUCAGGAGGAACACCGGUGGCGAAGGCGGUUCUCUGGGCCUGUACUGACGCUGAGGAGCGAAAGCGUGGGGAGCGAACAGG